Molecule: transfer RNA, 75 nt
Filed under: Paenibacillus allorhizosphaerae
Lineage: Bacteria; Bacillati; Bacillota; Bacilli; Caryophanales; Paenibacillaceae
Description: Paenibacillus sp. JJ-447 tRNA-Asn
Rfam family: tRNA
About the family: Transfer RNA (tRNA) molecules are approximately 80 nucleotides in length. Their secondary structure includes four short double-helical elements and three loops (D, anti-codon, and T loops).
Source: RNAcentral
AGGGAUAUAGCCAAUCGGUAAGGCAGCGCACUGUUAAUGCGUGACAUGCAGGUUCGAGUCCUGCUAUCCCUGCCA